CAAAAGUGCUGUUUUACCCUUGACAGGAGCUGAAGCACUUGCAGACCUGAGCCUGGCCCUGCCUGGCUGUGUCUAAUCCUGGUUACAUUCACUGGACCUGAUCCUGACUCCAACUCCUGGGCUCUUGUUCCCAUUCCCAAGGAGGUGCCUGGCGCCCUGGGCUGCAGGCUGCCCCCAUCCUUCUCCAGAGACACAAUAUCUCUGCAAAUUUCCAGUCUGCCAGCUCCUUCUGAGAUAUUUCCGUGAACCUACAACUAGAAGAAAAAGGGCUUUAAUCUAUUUCACUGGAAUUGGUAUGACUCUAUAUUGACAACGUGAGGGAGUCCAAUGACUGUGAUGUGCCUGUUGGUCCAGAGUGAAAGACAAAGAGGUACACAACUUUACUUGUCAGGUUCAGCUCUGGAGAUCAUGUUGCUGAAGGAGAACCAAAGAGGGUCAUAAUUGGCAAACUGUCUCAAAUCACUCCUUAACUACACAUUCCUUCAUCUGGGUUUCAUUCACAACUUCUUUCACCCCAAACAUAUUUACAGCUUUUGGAGGCUGAAUCCUGUUAAGCUGCACCAUUGGUAGCUCCUCCACAUGCAGAAACCAUGCUUGAUCUUAGCUGUGUGCUGCAAGAGUUCAGAAACCACAAAGUCUAAAUUGAAAAACAUCCCUUUCCUGACACUUUAAGUGCCGGACAAUCCUGUUCACUGGCACAGGAAGAGAGGGAUUAUUAUCCUUUUCAGGAAGCAGCCUAAGAAACCAUGGCCAUGCAGCCUGAGAGCAGACAGACACU
This is a long non-coding RNA of Passer domesticus (house sparrow), 778 nucleotides long. RefSeq lists it as uncharacterized. The record is from RefSeq and is a predicted model, not a curated record. The transcript has 3 exons. NCBI's taxonomy places the organism in Eukaryota, Metazoa, Chordata, Aves, Passeriformes, Passeridae.